Molecule: ribosomal RNA, 468 nt
Filed under: uncultured bacterium
Lineage: Bacteria
Description: partial 16S ribosomal RNA
Rfam family: Bacterial small subunit ribosomal RNA
Source: RNAcentral
GACGAACGCUGGCGGCGUGCUUAACACAUGCAAGUCGAACGGAAAGGCCCUGCUUUUGUGGGGUGCUCGAGUGGCGAACGGGUGAGUAACACGUGAGUAACCUGCCCUUGACUUUGGGAUAACUUCAGGAAACUGGGGCUAAUACCGGAUAGGAGCUCCUGCAGCAUGGUGGGGGUUGGAAAGUUUCGGCGGUUGGGGAUGGACUCGCGGCUUAUCAGCUUGUUGGUGGGGUAGUGGCUUACCAAGGCUUUGACGGGUAGCCGGCCUGAGAGGGUGACCGGCCACAUUGGGACUGAGAUACGGCCCAGACUCCUACGGGAGGCAGCAGUGGGGAAUAUUGCACAAUGGGCGGAAGCCUGAUGCAGCAACGCCGCGUGCGGGAUGACGGCCUUCGGGUUGUAAACCGCUUUCGCCUGUGACGAAGCGUGAGUGACGGUAAUGGGUAAAGAAGCACCGGCUAACUACGUG